This 135-nucleotide ribosomal RNA is filed under the name Danio rerio (zebrafish). The record is from RNAcentral. Lineage: Eukaryota; Metazoa; Chordata; Actinopteri; Cypriniformes; Danionidae.
UAAAACAAUCUUGUUUUCCUUUAAGCUGGCAGCUAGCUCUAUGCAACUCUCACAGGGUCACCCACUGAAGCUAAGCAGGGCUGAGCCUGUCAGUACCUGGAUGGGAGACUACAUGGGAAAGCUAGCUUGUAAAAA